RNAcentral lists this ribosomal RNA (434 nucleotides) under uncultured bacterium. RNAcentral describes it as "partial 16S ribosomal RNA". It matches the Rfam family "Bacterial small subunit ribosomal RNA", at positions 29 to 507 of the family's 1533-position model. The record is from RNAcentral.
AGCGAACGCUGGCGGCAGGCCUAACACAUGCAAGUCGAACGAACCUUUCGGGGUUAGUGGCGGACGGGUGAGUAACACGUGGGAACGUGCCUUUAGGUUCGGAAUAACUCAGGGAAACUUGUGCUAAUAUCGCAUGUGCUCUUCGGGGGAAAGAUUUAUCGCCUUUAGAGCGGCCCGCGCCUGAUUAGAUUGGUGGUUGAGGUAAUGGCCCACCAAGGCGACGAUCAAUAGCUGGUCUGAGAGGAUGAUCAGCCACAUUGGGACUGAGACACGGCCCAGACUCCUACGGGAGGCAGCAGUGGGGAAUAUUGCACAAUGGGCGAAAGCCUGAUGCAGCAAUGCCGCGUGAAUGAUGAAGGUCCUAGGGUUGUAAAGUUCUUUCACCGGGGACGAUAAUGACGGUACCGGGAGAAUAAGCCCCGGCUAACUUCGUG